GAUAAACGCUGGCGGCGUGCCUAAUACAUGCAAGUCGAGCGAACGGACGAGAAGCUUGCUUCUCUGAUGUUAGCGGCGGACGGGUGAGUAACACGUGGAUAACCUACCUAUAAGACUGGGAUAACUUCGGGAAACCGGAGCUAAUACCGGAUAAUAUUUUGAACCGCAUGGUUCAAAAGUGAAAGACGGUCUUGCUGUCACUUAUAGAUGGAUCCGCGCUGCAUUAGCUAGUUGGUAAGGUAACGGCUUACCAAGGCAACGAUGCAUAACCGACCUGAGAGGGUGAUCGGCCACACUGGAACUGAGACACGGUCCAGACUCCUACGGGAGGCAGCAGUAGGGAAUCUUCCGCAAUGGGCGAAAGCCUGACGGAGCAACGCCGCGUGAGUGAUGAAGGUCUUCGGAUCGUAAAACUCUGUUAUUAGGGAAGAACAUAUGUGUAAGUAACUGUGCACAUCUUGACGGUACCUAAUCAGAAAGCCACGGCUAACUACGUGCCAGCAGCCGCGGUAAUACGUAGGUGGCAAGCGUUAUCCAGAAUUAUUGGGCGUAAAGCGCGCGUAGGCGGUUUUUUAAGUCUGAUGUGAAAGCCCACGGCUCAACCGUGGAGGGUCAUUGGAAACUGGAAAACUUGAGUGCAGAAGAGGAAAGUGGAAUUCCAUGUGUAGCGGUGAAAUGCGCAGAGAUAUGGAGGAACACCAGUGGCGAAGGCGACUUUCUGGUCUGUAACUGACGCUGAUGUGCGAAAGCGUGGGGAUCAAACAGGAUUAGAUACCCUGGUAGUCCACGCCGUAAACGAUGAGUGCUAAGUGUUAGGGGGUUUCCGCCCCUUAGUGCUGCAGCUAACGCAUUAAGCACUCCGCCUGGGGAGUACGACCGCAAGGUUGAAACUCAAAGGAAUUGACGGGGACCCGCACAAGCGGUGGAGCAUGUGGUUUAAUUCGAAGCAACGCGAAGAACCUUACCAAAUCUUGACAUCCUUUGACAACUCUAGAGAUAGAGCCUUCCCCUUCGGGGGACAAAGUGACAGGUGGUGCAUGGUUGUCGUCAGCUCGUGUCGUGAGAUGUUGGGUUAAGUCCCGCAACGAGCGCAACCCUUAAGCUUAGUUGCCAUCAUUAAGUUGGGCACUCUAAGUUGACUGCCGGUGACAAACCGGAGGAAGGUGGGGAUGACGUCAAAUCAUCAUGCCCCUUAUGAUUUGGGCUACACACGUGCUACAAUGGACAAUACAAAGGGCAGCGAAACCGCGAGGUCAAGCAAAUCCCAUAAAGUUGUUCUCAGUUCGGAUUGUAGUCUGCAACUCGACUACAUGAAGCUGGAAUCGCUAGUAAUCGUAGAUCAGCAUGCUACGGUGAAUACGUUCCCGGGUCU
This 1372-nucleotide ribosomal RNA is filed under the name uncultured bacterium. RNAcentral describes it as "bacterial SSU rRNA". It matches the Rfam family "Bacterial small subunit ribosomal RNA", at positions 28 to 1381 of the family's 1533-position model. The record is from RNAcentral.